UAGUAAUCGUGGAUCAGAAUGCCACGGUGAAUACGUUCCCGGGCCUUGUACACACCGCCCGUCACACCAUGGGAGUGGGUUGCAAAAGAAGUAGGUAGCUUAACCUUCGGGAGGGCGCUUACCACUUUGUGAUUCAUGACUGGGGUGAAGUCGUAACAAGGUAACCGUAGGGGAACCUGCGGUUGGAUCACCUCCUUACCUUAAAGAAGCGUAGGCGACGAUCCCUAGCUGGUCUGAGAGGAUGACCAGCCACACUGGAACUGAGACACGGUCCAGACUCCUACGGGAGGCAGCAGUGGGGAAUAUUGCACAAUGGGCGCAAGCCUGAUGCAGCCAUGCCGCGUGUAUGAAGAAGGCCUUCGGGUUGUAAAGUACUUUCAGCGGGGAGGAAGGGAGUAAAGUUAAUACCUUUGCUCAUUGACGUUACCCGCAGAAGAAGCACCGGCUAACUCCGUGCCAGCAGCCGCGGUAAUACGGAGGGUGCAAGCGUUAAUCGGAAUUACUGGGCGUAAAGCGCACGCAGGCGGUUUGUUAAGUCAGAUGUGAAAUCCCCGGGCUCAACCUGGGAACUGCAUCUGAUACUGGCAAGCUUGAGUCUCGUAGAGGGGGGUAGAAUUCCAGGUGUAGCGGUGAAAUGCGUAGAGAUCUGGAGGAAUACCGGUGGCGAAGGCGGCCCCCUGGACGAAGACUGACGCUCAGGUGCGAAAGCGUGGGGAGCAAACAGGAUUAGAUACCCUGGUAGUCCACGCCGUAAACGAUGUCGACUUGGAGGUUGUGCCCUUGAGGCGUGGCUUCCGGAGCUAACGCGUUAAGUCGACCGCCUGGGGAGUACGGCCGCAAGGUUAAAACUCAAAUGAAUUGACGGGGGCCCGCACAAGCGGUGGAGCAUGUGGUUUAAUUCGAUGCAACGCGAAGAACCUUACCUGGUCUUGACAUCCACGGAAGUUUUCAGAGAUGAGAAUGUGCCUUCGGGAACCGUGAGACAGGUGCUGCAUGGCUGUCGUCAGCUCGUGUUGUGAAAUGUUGGGUUAAGUCCCGCAACGAGCGCAACCCUUAUCCUUUGUUGCCAGCGGUCCGGCCGGGAACUCAAAGGAGACUGCCAGUGAUAAACUGGAGGAAGGUGGGG
RNAcentral lists this ribosomal RNA (1126 nucleotides) under Escherichia coli. Its description in RNAcentral is "bacterial SSU rRNA". It matches the Rfam family "Bacterial small subunit ribosomal RNA", at positions 111 to 1178 of the family's 1533-position model. Lineage: Bacteria; Pseudomonadati; Pseudomonadota; Gammaproteobacteria; Enterobacterales; Enterobacteriaceae. The record is from RNAcentral.